This 331-nucleotide long non-coding RNA is filed under the name Brassica napus (rape). RNAcentral describes it as "long non-coding RNA (BNAP_LNC003859)". Lineage: Eukaryota; Viridiplantae; Streptophyta; Magnoliopsida; Brassicales; Brassicaceae. The record is from RNAcentral.
GCAGCCUUUGGUGGGGUCGGUGGUGACAUGUGGCGGCUCGGCGGUGAAUGAUAUGGAGAGCGCUCUUGAGGAGGUGGAGGUGUUCGCUGACGUGGAAGGGAAGUUCGCUGACGUGGAGGUGUUCGCUGACGUGGAGGUGAAGGAGGUGUUUGCUGACGUGGAGGUGAAGGAGGUGUUUGCUGACGUGGAGGGGGAGGACGCUGACGUGGAGGAGAAGGAGGUUGUUGCUGACGUGGAGGUGACGGUUGUCUUGCCGGCGUUCUGACUACGACCGGACGGCGAGUGGUUUGUCGGGGUUGAGGAGGUGGAGGUGGGUCGCUUGAGGCUUGUG